AGCUGCAGGGGAUGCUAGUCUUUCAGACACCCCAUUGCAAAAGGAAAUUUAGCAGGAAGAGGGAGUGUUCACCAUUUUCAAGAUAAUGAUCCAUCAUCGUUGGACAUUCAGAGCGCAAGCCGUCUCCUUUGACAAGAGUGUUGACCAGAUUUGGAUUCCGUUGGAGGACAUUUGGGGAUAAUUCACUGAAAAAAUGUACAGAGGAUUACCACCAUCCACCAAGUUGCUGAAGCCACAGCCAUCUGAGUUAUCAUCUCCCCUCCCCCGCUGCCCCAUCCUUCGCUCCGUAACAUCUCAUCUGUUGAGAGGUCCUAUUCUACUUUUAAAAUACAUUUUCAAUC
Lynx canadensis (Canada lynx) is the source of this 341-nucleotide long non-coding RNA. RefSeq lists it as uncharacterized. The record is from RefSeq and is a predicted model, not a curated record. The transcript is spliced from 3 exons. Lineage: Eukaryota; Metazoa; Chordata; Mammalia; Carnivora; Felidae.